RNAcentral lists this ribosomal RNA (459 nucleotides) under uncultured bacterium. RNAcentral's name for it is "partial 16S ribosomal RNA". It matches the Rfam family "Bacterial small subunit ribosomal RNA", at positions 338 to 795 of the family's 1533-position model. The record is from RNAcentral.
CCUACGGGAGGCAGCAGUGAGGAAUAUUGGUCAAUGGGCGGGAGCCUGAACCAGCCAAGCCGCGUGAGGGAAGAAGGUACAGCGUAUCGUAAACCUCUUUUGUCAGGGAACAAAGUCGGGGACUAGUCCACGGAUGAGGGUACCUGAAGAAAAAGCAUCGGCUAACUCCGUGCCAGCAGGCGCGGUAAUACGGAGGAUGCGAGCGUUAUCCGGAUUUAUUGGGUUUAAAGGGUGCGCAGGCGGCCUGUUAAGUCAGCGGUAAAAGCCCGGGGCUCAACCCCGGCGAGCCGUUGAAACUGGCGGGCUGGCGUUGGAGAGAAGUACGCGGAAUGCGCGGUGUAGCGGUGAAAUGCUUAGAUAUCGCGCAGAACCCCGAUUGCGAAGGCAGCGUACCGGCUCCACACUGACGCUGAGGCACGAAAGCGUGGGUAUCGAACAGGAUUAGAUACCCCGGUAGUC